UAAACAACUCUCUGCAACGGAUAUCUCGGCUCACGCAUCGAUGAAAAAAGUAGCAAAAUGCGAUACUUGUGGUGAAUUGUGCAAUCCCGUGAACCAUCUAGUUUUUGAACGCAAGUUGUGCCCCAAACCUUUUGGGCGAGGGGACGUCUGCCUGGGGGUCACGC
This 164-nucleotide ribosomal RNA is filed under the name Achillea acuminata. Its description in RNAcentral is "5.8S ribosomal RNA". It matches the Rfam family "5.8S ribosomal RNA". From Rfam's summary of the family: 5.8S ribosomal RNA (5.8S rRNA) is a component of the large subunit of the eukaryotic ribosome. It is transcribed by RNA polymerase I as part of the 45S precursor that also contains 18S and 28S rRNA. Functionally, it is thought that 5.8S rRNA may be involved in ribosome translocation. The record is from RNAcentral. Lineage: Eukaryota; Viridiplantae; Streptophyta; Magnoliopsida; Asterales; Asteraceae.